RNAcentral lists this long non-coding RNA (795 nucleotides) under Citrus x clementina. RNAcentral's name for it is "Citrus clementina (C. clementina) long non-coding RNA (CCLE_LNC006395)". The record is from RNAcentral. Lineage: Eukaryota; Viridiplantae; Streptophyta; Magnoliopsida; Sapindales; Rutaceae.
GGCCCCUCGCAAAGUCUCGCCCCAUUCGCGAGUCCGGCGGACGAACUUCGCCCGCGCUCCCCACCAAGGCUAUAGCCCACCCGUUUUUUGGCCAUUUUUCCGCUGGGGGGUUUUGGCACCACGACCUUCGGGCGCUUAUUUUUGGACGCGGCUGUGCCCGCGACUUCCAGCGGGCACCCCGAGGCCCCUCGCAAAGUCUCGCCCCAUUCCGAGUCCGGCGGACGAACUUCACCCGCCCCCCCCACCAAGGCUAUAGCCCACCCGUUUUUUGGCCAUUUUUCCGCUGGGGGGUUUUGGCACCACGACCUUCGGGCGCUUAUUUUUGGGCGCGGCUUUGCCCGCGGCUUAUUUUUGGCGCCCCGAGGCCCCGCGCAAAGUCUCGCCCCAUUCCGAGUCCGGCGGACGAACUUCGCCCGCGCCCCCCACCAAGGCUAUAGCCCACCCGUUUUUUGGCCAUUUUUCCGCUGGGGGGUUUUGGCACCACGACCUUCGGGCGCUUAUUUUUGGACGCGCCUGUGCCCGCGACUUCCCGCGGGCACCUCGAGGCCCCUCACAAAGUCUCGCCCCAUUCCAAGUCCGGCGGACGAACUUCGCCCGCGCCCCCCACCAAGGCUAUAGCCCACCCGUUUUUUGGCCAUUUUUCCGCUGGGGGGUUUUGGCACCACGACCUUCGGGCGCUUAUUUUUGGACGCGGCUGUGCCCGCGACUUCCCGCGGGCACCUCGAGGCCCCUCGCAAAGUCUCGCCCCAUUCCGAGUCCGGCGGACGAACUUCGCCCGCGCCCCCCACCAAGGCU